RNAcentral lists this ribosomal RNA (200 nucleotides) under uncultured Glomeromycotina. RNAcentral describes it as "partial small subunit ribosomal RNA". It matches the Rfam family "Eukaryotic small subunit ribosomal RNA", at positions 591 to 797 of the family's 1831-position model. The record is from RNAcentral. Lineage: Eukaryota; Fungi; Glomeromycota.
CCAAUAGCGUAUAUUAAAGUUGUUGCAGUUAAAAAGCUCGUAGUUGAAUUUCGAGAUCAAUUUGUUGGUCGUGCCUCGGUACGUACUGGCAAUUUUGGUUUCUCCCUUCUGAAGAACCAUGAUGUCAUUAAUUUGGUGUCAUGGGGAAUCAGGACUGUUACUUUGAAAAAAUUAGAGUGUUUAAAGCAGGCUCGCGCUUG